GAGGGGAGGAAGUGACCAAGUGGACCGAAUAGAAGAAAAGGCCUCGAACAGAGAUAACCGGCGCCGUUAGCGGACUAACGGAGAGAGUAGAUGAAAGGUGGUUCCCACAAUGGGGCUCAGUGUGCCAUCGUCGGUCCAACGAGUGUUCUUGUAUUCUCAGAUCGGUGUAUUCUUGGACAAAUAUGUCCGUACGGUCUAUGUAUUCUUUGGCUUCAGAUUCUAACUUUCAUUCAUAUUCGGUGAGAGAUCUUAAGGCCAUAAGCUAUUAUAACUCAGCUCAACAACAUCAUCCGUUUCAUAUAUACACGUUUAUACUACUUAUGGUGAAAAAUAAGUAAAGUGAUGUUGUCGAG
This 353-nucleotide long non-coding RNA is filed under the name Brassica napus (rape). RNAcentral's name for it is "long non-coding RNA (BNAP_LNC000215)". The record is from RNAcentral. Lineage: Eukaryota; Viridiplantae; Streptophyta; Magnoliopsida; Brassicales; Brassicaceae.